Molecule: long non-coding RNA, 7654 nt
Organism: Acinonyx jubatus (cheetah)
Lineage: Eukaryota; Metazoa; Chordata; Mammalia; Carnivora; Felidae
Exons: 5
Source: RefSeq, a predicted model, not a curated record
GGGAUUCUGCUCCGGUUCGCUCACUUUCUGCGCCCGUCGGAGGCCGGUGGCAGCACAACACCGCGUCCUGGCCAAAGGACAAGUGGGUCUGGAGGGACUGGACGGAAAUGCACCCCAGCCCCGGAGACCCAGGUUAAAAGAUACUUUAUCUGUAAUCAUCACGCCUAAAAUGAAUGACCCAACUCCAGCUUUCCCCUAGCCAGAGACGGCAAAAGGAGGUAUUUGGAAGUCUUGACAUGAAAACAGGUUAAACACUGAAGCUGUUUCUAUGAAAAAUAAAGAAAUGCACAACGCAAACGUCUGCCUAGCCUCCGUCAGGGGCAUUCGCUUUACUUUUUCCAACACUAAUCCGUAACACGACGGAAUGCAGCUGCAGACCCAAUGAGACCGGCCCUCGGCUAGCCGCGACAGAUUAAGCGUCUCCUGGGCCCGGAGCUGACACGCGGCGCCUGGUCGACGAAGCUCAGCGACAGGUUCCACGGGGAACCCGCCGUCCAAACUGAGAACGCAAAGCAACUAAGCGACGGCUCCGUAUCCGCGGGGCAUCCCGGGGCACGGAAUCCCGGCGGGCCGCGGGGGAAAGGGCCGUUAGGGGGUCGCCCGGGCGGAGGCCAGACAGCGGCCCGGGCCCCUCCCAGCGCUCGGACAGCGGCCUCCACGCCCCGCGCCCCCGCAGACCCAGCGCGGGCCCCAGCGCCUCCAAACCCCGAACCGCCGCGCGACCCCGCCUCGGCCGCGGGCAGCGCGCCCGCACCUCCACGUCGAUGUCCAGGAAGCCGCCCUCGGCCACCUCGAAGAUGAGGCCCAUCUUGGUGCCCGAGGUGACCCGCUCGAAGAAGCACUCCUCGGCAUGCGCGUCGAUGCUGACGAAGUAGCCCGAAGCCGUGGCCAGAAGAGCGGCCAGGAGCACCAGCAGCUCGGCGAGCGUCACCAUGGUGGGGCUGGGGCCGAAGCCAGGACCGGGACCGCGGCCUCCAGAGCCGCCGCCGCCGCCGCCGCCACCGCUGCCUCCUCAGCCGCCGCCGCCUCUGCUCCGCCCCUUCCGGCUGCGCCACCCGAGGGGGCUGAUGCGGGCGCCGUGGAUUGGCGGGCGCCGGCAGCUGCCACGUAACGGACGCACGGCGGCCGCGAAGGGACAAGGCGGCUCCGCGCACCCCGAGCCUGGAUGGUGGCUCUGAAAGGCCAAACAUCGUUGUCCCCACCAUCAUCCCUUUCGCGCGCAGGCUAAGUUUCACGUGGACCACACCAGAAAGCGACAGUAUCAGGAAACCUCCCGCGCCCGGUGCGACGCCCUAAGAUUGUCUAAAGAGAUGGCGAAAACUUUGGAGGCAGCAACAGAAGGAUUAUUUCUUGAAAGACCAUCAGGCAAUAGGGGGCAGUAGUGGCCCAAUAUCCAGUUUCCCCGCUUCAGGUGUCAAAAAACAGGUGCAGGGCUUCCUUGACUGAACUCAAGAGCUCUAGUGAUGUCCCCUGACUCCCCGCUCUCCGGACUGUGUCAAAGGCCCUGCUUGUGCUGGCAGGUCAGUUCUGUUGUGUUAUUCUGGGAGCCCAGAGCCUGUUCCCUCCAGCCUCAUUAACCCACUUAUAUGCCUCUCUUUCUCUGUAUUGAAGUUCUUCCUGCUUAUAAUACCUACAGUAGCUUCCUAUUAAAAUGAAUUAAACUGGGGCGCCUGGGUGUCUCAGUCGGUUAAGCAACCGACUUCGACUCAGGCCAUGAUCUCUCUGUUCCUGAGUUCGAGCCCCGUGUCAGGCUCUGUGCUGACAGCUCAGAGCCUAGAGCCCGUUUCAGAUUCUGCGUCUCCCUCUCUCUCUGCCCCUCCACCCCCCACACUGUAUCUCUCUCUCCAAAAAAAAUGAACAUUAAAAUUUUUUUAAUGAAUUAAACUGAAACAGGUUUUUUGACUUCCCAAGCAACCGAACUGUAUAGAAAAGUGCCAAGAACAAUUCUGUUUUUAUCUAGAAAUUAAAUACAUUAAUUUUCACUUGCAAACUGAUGAAAUAUUCUAAUUCCACUUACCAGGGACUUAAAAUGUGGACAUUUAUCAUCUUGGUGGACCACCCUGAAUUAUAUAUUGUUGGAUUUUAUAAAGUAAAUCAGGGGACCCAAAUUCAAAUGCCUUCAGGGAUCAGGCAGUUUAUAUGAAUGAGUGAAGGCACCCCAGCUUAAGGCAAUAGGGAGUAGGGAGGAGUGUGGCAAAUUGGAGCAUAGAUGCUGUACCUAAAUACACUUGGCUCCAGUGUUUGAAGACACAGUGGUGGCCAAACCAAAAAUGCAGCCAGAAGUCAUCUGUGAAUUUAUUUUUUUAUAUUAGAAAUGUAAUUAACUGUGCUAUCUAAAAAUCAGAAAAGAGACAAAAGUAACUCCAAACACAGUACCAUAAACUAAUCACUUAUCAACUACUUGGCAUAGUUCCUUCUUUAUAGAGGGUUUUCUUUUCAGUGGCAUAGCCAUAAAUUAGUCAUCAAGUGUCUUUUGACAUUACUUCAGGAUCUGAAGACAGGCUCUCAGGACUUGCCAGACCCACCCACUGUAAAUGUACACUUUUAUGGUCCUCAGCACAGACUGGCAGGUGCUCGCGUGCCAUGGUGUAUGUGAACGCAUUCAACACAACAAACAGAUGGCUCAUAGCCGGCACUUAGUAAUAUAUGAUGAAUGACGAAUGAAUCUCUCAACUCAGGUCUGGCCCAGAACCUACCAGGGGGUUAUCAGUAAUCAGUGAGGUGCAACAAAAAAUGGGUCCUGUCCUCCCUCCCUCCCUUCCUUCCUUCCUUCCUUCCUUCCUUCCUUCCUUCCUUCCUCCUUCCCCCCUUCUUUCCAGCUUUACUAAGGAAUAGAAAUAUAAUUCAUGCCAUGAAAUCACUCUCUUUUUUUCCACAUAGAAGCUCUUAGUUUAUUAACCCUCACAUGAAAAAUCUGCACAAUCACCACAGACAAAAUCAAUGCAGAAUCUUUACUCCUUUUUUUUUUUAAUUUUUUAAUGUGUAUUUUUGAGAAAGAGCAAGCGAGUGAGCAUGAUCGGGGGAGGAGCAGAGAGAGAGAUAGAAACCCAGAAUCCGAAGCAGGCUCCAGGCUCCAAGCUGUCAGCACAGAGCCUGACAUGGGGAUCGAACCCAUGAGCCAUGAACCAAGCGAUCACGACCUGUGCGGAAGUCAGACGCUCAACCGACUGAGCCACCCAGGUGUCCCGUAAUCUUUACUCCUUCUGUUGUCCAAUCUCCAGCCCGCUGUUCACCAGCACCAGCAUUAGCUUUUGCAGCGCCCCUGACUUUCUUCAUUCCGUUCUUGCAUUCUUUUCGCCGUUUUCUUGAAGUCUUUUUGUUCUCCAACAGGCCAGGUCUUGCAAGUCUAUGUUUGGGUUCAUGUAUCUUUACACACCCUAAGGAAUCAUAAAUCAUGCCAAAGCCAGUUGUCUUGCCACUGAUGAGGGACAGGAGCAGAAAAAUGUUCACCUUUAGCCCAGAAGGGUGACCUAUAUAGCCUGCACGGUUUUGAUAAGCAUCAGGUAAGAGCUGCUUGCUACAUACUUAAAGGGUCUCAUGACUGCCUGUGCAUCUCAUUGAUAGUUCAUACCGAGCUGAAUGAUAAGCACCAGAGAAAUCUUACAAAAGUAGUUUUACGAGUAGACGUUCAAAGAAGACAUUUGUGACCUACUACUCCCUGCACGUCCCCUCCCCCUUCAGCACUAAGCAUAUAACCACCAGCUUCAUACAGCCAGAGUGCAGAUUUCUCUGCCCAAGGGUCCUGUCGCUGUGCUGCUUAAAUAAACUUACUAAGUUGCCCCGGAACACAUCUCAAUAAUUCUCUCUUGACUGCCUCUCUCAAUGAUCCUGCAACAACACUACCAAAAUUCGUUCUGAAUCCAAAUACGAAGAUGACAGCUGUUGUGGUCUUGUACAUUUUGGCUAGUUUUUCUUGAAUUUCUUAGAUACUGUUGCUUUCCAGGGUGUAGAACAUCGAUGACCAUUUGUUUCCAUAAAGUAGUCAGUCAGUCAUGAACUUUCCGGUCCGGAUAGUUAUUGUGUCGUUCACGGUGGUGGCUGAGCUCCAAGCAGCCAGGGGGGAAAAAGAGCAAAAUCACCUUUUUUUUUUUUUUUUUAAUGUUUAUUUAUUUUUGAGAGAGACAGAGACAGAGUGCGAAUGGGGGAGGGACAGAGAGAGGGAGACACAGAAUCCGAAGCAGGCUCCAGGCUCUGAGCUGUCAGCACAGAACCCCACACGGGGCUCGAACUCACGAACCGUGGGAACAUGACCUGAGCCAAAGUCGGACGCUCAACCAACUGAACCACCCAGGUGCCCCGUGAAAUCACCCUUUUAAUGUGUACGGUCCAGUGGUUGUUAGCGUAUUCAGAGUCGUUCACUUAUCACCUCUGUCCAAUUCCAAAACAUUUCAUCACCCCUAAAAGAAACCUUGUACCCAUUAGCUGUCACUCCCCAUUUCCCAUUUCCCCCAGCCCUCCUGGCAACCACUCAUCUAUUUUCUGUCUCUAUGGAUGUGAGAUGAAAUCGUACAAUCCAUGGCCUUUUGUGGCCAGCUUCUCUUACUUAGCACCAUGUUUUCGAGUUUCUUCCAUGUGGUACUUCAUUCCUUUCUGUGGCUGAAUAAUACUGCACUGUGUAGACGGACCACACGUUGUUUGCCAUUUGAUGGACAUUUUUGAGUUUCCACUUUUUGACUAUUGGGAAUAAUGCUGCUAUGAAUGUUCACACACGCAUUUGUGUAUGGACAUACGUUUUCAAUUCUCUGGGGUAUAUACCUAGAACAGACAAAAUAAAUCCUUUCUGCUUGGAAUCAGAAGCUUGUUGAGCGAGGGACUAGGAAACCAGAUUAGAAAUUGAACAGUUGCGCCCAUCAGUUCUCAAAAGCUGGCAAGUUCUAAACAGAAUAACAAAAGGCUGUUUCCACAGAAAGGCUAGCUCAGCUUUCUGCUGUCUGGGUAUGAACACUCCCUUUCCCUUCUGGUCCCACGGAAGUCUGUUUUAUAAUUAGGGAAGAGUAAAGGAGACUAAGGGAUUUUCUUUCAUCAGUAUUUUUUUUUUUCAUUUUCAGUUUUAAAAUGUCACUUUGUUGGGAACAAUUUUCAUAGAGUGAUCAGAAGUGAAGAUAAACAUAACCACGAUAUCACCACUUAAUCAGAUCAGUCCUUGCGGGAGGGCGGGGGAGGGGGCUCCGUGUUAGGCUUCUGCCCAUUUGAUCUCAGACCCAGGCAGCCCUCUCCGCCCACCCCCGAAUCACGGGGAACUACAUCUCCCAGGCUCCCUUGCACUCCGCUUCCUGGUAGGUUGGGCCAGUUGCAGACCCUGACAGAAGGUCAGAAAGUGGAGAAAGGAAGAGGCCGCAGCAUCUGUCUCCCUCCGCUUUGGGAAGCAUCUCCGCUGUAUCCAGCCCCUCGGAAGUUCCCGUUUUCGCUGGGUGGUCCUGGAUCCUGGACUCUGGUGCAGCCUAAUUCCCCUCUCCUGGACCAGGAGGCAGAACUGGCUUUGUGACUCACCUCUGUCUAGGAGAAUGUGGCAAAUGUGACAAUGUGUGACUUCUGAUGCUAAGUCAUAAAAGGUUUUUUUUUUAAGUAAUCUCUACACCCAACAUGGUGGGGCUCCAACUUACAACCCCAAGAUCAAGACUCACGUGCUCUACGGACUGAGCCAGCCAGGCGCUCCUAGAAAUGUAAUUCUUAGCCCUGUCGCUCAUUAAAAGGUACAUACUCAGCUCCUUUCUGGGAGUGUCUUUGCUUCCUCACCGGUAACAUAGAGUAACAUCUACUCAGGAAGGCUGUUUGUCGUCUGCUUUGCAGACAAAGUGAGCUGCUCUUUUUCUGGGUUUCCAUAACAUUCUCAAGUGGCUCUAUCAUCAUCCUUAUCUGGUGUUAUUUUUUAUUAUUCGAGUAUAGUUUAUAUGCCACACAACUUACCCAUUUAAAGUAUACAGUUCAAUGGUUUUAGUUAUAUUCACAGAGCUGUGCAACCAUUAUCAUGAUGAAUUUUUAAUUCUUUUUUCUAAUGUGUAUUUAUUUAUUUUGAGAGAGAGAGAGAGAGAGCUCGAGUGUGCACAGCAGGGGAGGGGCAGAGAGAAGGAGACAGAGAAUCCCAAGCAGGCAGCGCUGGCAACACAGGGUCUGCCACAGGGCUUGAUCUCAUGACCGCAAGAUCAUGACCCGAGCCGAAAUCGACAAUCAGACGCUUCACCGACUGAGCCACCCAGGCGCCCCCGUUAUUUUUCUAAUUCUUAAAGAUUAAGAGUUCGUGCAGCUGAAAAGCAUAAAGGUAGCAAAAAAAUCAGGCACAGUGUGGUCCAGUUGCUCAGGUUACAUCACCAGGAUGCGGUUUGGUCUCCUGUGUCUGAGCCCUGCUUUCCUUCUGUCACCUUUUUGCUCAGGCAGGCUGUCCCCAAACCACCGCGAGAUGGCCACCAGCAGCCUCAGGCUUCCAGCCGAGUUUUGCAUCAACCACAUGGGAAGAACAAUGAACCAAAUGAAAAAUUACCUUUUCUCAGAGGUCCAGGAGGAACACCUGGGUGGCUCAGUCGGUUAAGCGUCCGACUUCGGCUCGGGUCAUGAUCUCGCGGUUCGUGGGUUCGAGCCCCGCGUCGGGCUCUGGGCUGACAGCCCGGAGCCUGCUUCGGAUUUUGUGUCUCCCUCUCUCCCUCUGCCCCUCCCCACUCAUGUUCUGUCUCUCUCUCAAAAAUAAACAUUAAAAAAAAAAGGAAAAAGCAAAGAGGUCCAGGAAAAGUGUGAUGGAAUGUCACUGGACUGUCUGAAGUCAGUCCCUGCCCAUUCCUGAGGCAACCACUAGGCCCACGGGUUGGCUAAUGCGGGCUGGUCAGGCCUGGGUUUCUCCUUCCCAGGAACCAGGUCGGGGCGGGGGGGGGGGGGUGCCCCUGAAGAAGACCAGAAAAAUGGGGUGGAUCCUAGGAGGAGAAACAAUACAUGUGCCCCCUCCAGUCACUGGCCUGUGAGCUCCUCGAAGGCAGGGACUUCUGCCCUAAGUUAUCUUUGCACUCUCAGAGCCCCUGCUGGGUGACAAAGCUAGCCAAUGGCUGCGAGCUUCCCGACUGGAUAAAUCCCCUUUCCCUUUUCCCUCUUCUGUCCCACUCUCUCCUGGAGUCUGGUUCAUCUUCCAGAAACAAGAAGUUCUGUGAAGAGAUAAAGAUUCCUACAGAGUGAUCUGGGCUUUCAGAGGAAAGUACUGUUUUUACCCCAGGCACAACAAGAAGGCAGAAAUACCUCUGAAGUUCCUCAGUUAAUGAAUGGAUAAGCAAAAGGUGGUCUAUCCACACAAUGGAAUAUGAUUCAGCCAUGAAAAGGAAUAAUGCAGUGGCCCACACUAUAAAGCAGAUGAACUUGAAGACAUUAUGCUCAGUGAAAGAAGCCGGUCACAAAAGACCAGGUAUUAUACGAUUCCAGUUACGUGAAAUAUUCACAAUAGGUAAAUCCAUAGAGACAGAGAGUAGAUUAGUGGUUACCUCGGGCUGUGAUGCGGAGUAGGGAGGAAACGGGGAGUCACUGCUGAUAUGGUUUCUGUUUAAAACAAUGAAAAUGUUCUGGAAUGAGAUGGGGUGAUGGUUGCAUGUAAAUACACUGAAGAUCACUGAAUUGUACCUUUAAAUGUGUGGAUUUGAAGACAUGUGAACUAUAUUUCAAUAAAGUUGUUUAAAACAAA